Molecule: ribosomal RNA, 975 nt
Filed under: Hysterobrevium baoshanense
Lineage: Eukaryota; Fungi; Ascomycota; Dothideomycetes; Hysteriales; Hysteriaceae
Description: SSU rRNA
Rfam family: Eukaryotic small subunit ribosomal RNA
Source: RNAcentral
GGCUCAUUAAAUCAGUUAUCGUUUAUUUGAUAGUACCUUACUACUUGGAUAACCGUGGUAAUUCUAGAGCUAAUACAUGCUAAAAACCCCAACUUCGGGAGGGGUGUAUUUAUUAGAUAAAAAACCAACGCCCUUCGGGGCUCCUUGGUGAUUCAUAAUAACUUAACGGAUCGCAUGGCCUUGCGCCGGCGACGGUUCAUUCAAAUUUCUGCCCUAUCAACUUUCGAUUGUAGGGUAUUGGCCUACAAUGGUUUCAACGGGUAACGGGGAAUUAGGGUUCGAUUCCGGAGAGGGAGCCUGAGAAACGGCUACCACAUCCAAGGAAGGCAGCAGGCGCGCAAAUUACCCAAUCCCGACACGGGGAGGUAGUGACAAUAAAUACUGAUACAGGGCUCUUUUGGGUCUUGUAAUUGGAAUGAGUACAAUUUAAACCCCUUAACGAGGAACAAUUGGAGGGCAAGUCUGGUGCCAGCAGCCGCGGUAAUUCCAGCUCCAAUAGCGUAUAUUAAAGUUGUUGCAGUUAAAAAGCUCGUAGUUGAACCUUGGGCCUGGCUGGCCGGUCCGCCUCACCGCGUGCACUGGUCCGGCCGGGCCUUUCCUUCUGGAGAGCCGCAUGCCCUUCACUGGGUGUGUCGGGGAACCAGGACUUUUACUUUGAAAAAAUUAGAGUGUUCAAAGCAGGCCUUUGCUCGAAUACGUUAGCAUGGAAUAAUAGAAUAGGACGUGCGGUCCUAUUUUGUUGGUUUCUAGGACCGCCGUAAUGAUUAAUAGGGAUAGUCGGGGGCAUCAGUAUUCAAUUGUCAGAGGUGAAAUUCUUGGAUUUAUUGAAGACUAACUACUGCGAAAGCAUUUGCCAAGGAUGUUUUCAUUAAUCAGUGAACGAAAGUUAGGGGAUCGAAGACGAUCAGAUACCGUCGUAGUCUUAACCGUAAACUAUGCCGACUAGGGAUCGGGCGAUGUUAUUAUUUUGACUCG